GGCUCUUUGGCAACAAAAUGAUGGGGAGUCGGGCCUGCCCGGUGAUUAAUUUAACGGCCGCGGUACUUUGACCGUGCGAAGGUAGCGUAAUCAUUUGCUCUAUAAUUGAGGGCUUGUAUGAAUGGUUUGACGGGAGUUUAACUGUCUCAUCCUGGUUUUUUAGAAUUUAACUUUUAAGUGAAGAGGCUUAAAUAGAAUUAAUAGACGAGAAGACCCUAUUGAGCUUAUGAUGAGUUUUAAUGGCGUUAAUAUUAAAGUGUCUUUGAUUGGGGCGAUUAAGGAACAAUAAAAGCUUCUUUUGUAGUUUAAAAACUUGCGGGUGUUGAUCCAUAACUGGUGAUUGAAGGGAUAAAGUUACCGUAGGGAUAACAGCGUUAUCUUUCUUGAGAGUUCUUAUCGAAAGAAGGGUUUGCGACCUCGAUGUUGGACUAAAGUUUCCUAAAGGUGCAGAAGCUUUUGAGGGUUGGUCUGUUCGACCAUUAAAACUUU
This 489-nucleotide ribosomal RNA is filed under the name Cirsotrema varicosum. Its description in RNAcentral is "partial 16S ribosomal RNA". It matches the Rfam family "Bacterial large subunit ribosomal RNA", at positions 1824 to 2597 of the family's 2925-position model. The record is from RNAcentral. Lineage: Eukaryota; Metazoa; Mollusca; Gastropoda; Epitoniidae.